UUCUUCAAAAAAUUAACUAAAAAAGAUUAAUUAAUUAGAAGGAAUUCAGCAAAUUUAAUUGCUCCGCCUGUUUAUCAAAAACAUGGCUCUUUGCUUAAUAAAUAUAAAGAGUCGAGCCUGCCCAGUGAAUCUUUCAACGGCCGCGGUACUCUGACCGUGCAAAGGUAGCAUAAUCAUUUGCCUUAUAAUUGAAGGCUAGUAUGAAUGGUUUGACGAGAGCAAUACUGUCUCCUUUUUAUUUUCAAGAACUUAACUUUUAGGUGAAGAGGCCUAAAUUUUAUUGAAGGACAAGAAGACCCUGUCGAGCUUAAAAGAAACUAUAGAGGUUUAAUAUAUUUUUAGAUAAAUUUUCUAUUAAGCUUUUUAGUUGGGGCGACUAAGGAACAAAAAAAGCUUCUUUCUAACAAUAAACAAUCACGUUUAGAUCCGAUAGUAGCGAUUAAAGGAAUUAGUUACCGCAGGGAUAACAGCAUAAUCUCUCUUAAGAGACCUAAUCGAAAGAGGGGGUUGUGACCUCGAUGUUGGACUAGAAUAUCCUAAAGAUGCAG
RNAcentral lists this ribosomal RNA (548 nucleotides) under Semisulcospira gredleri. RNAcentral describes it as "partial large subunit ribosomal RNA". It matches the Rfam family "Bacterial large subunit ribosomal RNA", at positions 1713 to 2558 of the family's 2925-position model. Lineage: Eukaryota; Metazoa; Mollusca; Gastropoda; Semisulcospiridae. The record is from RNAcentral.